RNAcentral lists this ribosomal RNA (479 nucleotides) under uncultured bacterium. Its description in RNAcentral is "bacterial SSU rRNA". It matches the Rfam family "Bacterial small subunit ribosomal RNA", at positions 38 to 512 of the family's 1533-position model. The record is from RNAcentral.
GGCGGAAUGCUUUACACAUGCAAGUCGAGCGGCAGCGCGGGGGCAACCCUGGCGGCGAGCGGCGAACGGGUGAGUAAUGUAUCGGAACGUACCCAGUCGUGGGGGAUAACUAAUCGAAAGGUUAGCUAAUACCGCAUACAACCUGAGGGUGAAAGCGGGGGACCGUAAGGCCUCGCGCGAUUGGAGCGGCCGAUAUCGGAUUAGCUUGUUGGUGAGGUAAAGGCUCACCAAGGCGACGAUCCGUAGCUGGUCUGAGAGGACGACCAGCCACACUGGAACUGAGACACGGUCCAGACUCCUACGGGAGGCAGCAGUGGGGAAUUUUGGACAAUGGGGGCAACCCUGAUCCAGCCAUUCCGCGUGAGUGAAGAAGGCCUUCGGGUUGUAAAGCUCUUUCAGCAGGAACGAAACGGUUAUCUCUAAUAAAGAUGACUAAUGACGGUACCUGAAGAAGAAGCACCGGCUAACUACGUGCCAGC